GAUGAAGAACGCAGCGAAAUGCGAUAAGUAAUGUGAAUUGCAGAAUUCAGUGAAUCAUCGAAUCUAUGAACGCACAUUGCGCCCCCUGGUAUUCCGGGGGGCAUGCCUGUUCGAGCGUCAUUUCACCACUCAAGCCUCGCUUGGUAUUGGGCAACGCGGUCCGCCGCGUGCCUCAAAUCGACCGGCUGGGUCUUCUGUCCCCUAAGCGUUGUGGAAACUAUUCGCUAAAGGGUGUUCGGGAGGCUACGCCGUAAAACAACCCCAUUUCUAAGGUUGACCUCGGAUCAGGUAGGGAUACCCGCUGAACUUAAGCAUAUCAAUAAGCGGAGGA
Molecule: unclassified non-coding RNA, 331 nt
Filed under: soil metagenome
Description: partial contains 5.8S ribosomal RNA, internal transcribed spacer 2, and large subunit ribosomal RNA
Rfam family: 5.8S ribosomal RNA (bases 1-120)
Source: RNAcentral